AAAUUGAAGAGUUUGAUCAUGGCUCAGAUUGAACGCUGGCGGCAGGCCUAACACAUGCAAGUCGAACGGUAACAGGAAGCAGCUUGCUGUUUCGCUGACGAGUGGCGGACGGGUGAGUAAUGUCUGGGAAACUGCCUGAUGGAGGGGGAUAACUACUGGAAACGGUAGCUAAUACCGCAUAACGUCGCAAGACCAAAGAGGGGGACCUUCGGGCCUCUUGCCAUCGGAUGUGCCCAGAUGGGAUUAGCUAGUAGGUGGGGUAACGGCUCACCUAGGCGACGAUCCCUAGC
This 290-nucleotide ribosomal RNA is filed under the name Shigella flexneri. Its description in RNAcentral is "partial 16S ribosomal RNA". It matches the Rfam family "Bacterial small subunit ribosomal RNA", at positions 1 to 287 of the family's 1533-position model. The record is from RNAcentral. Lineage: Bacteria; Pseudomonadati; Pseudomonadota; Gammaproteobacteria; Enterobacterales; Enterobacteriaceae.